UAACCUGGUUGAUCCUGCCAGUAGUCAUAUGCUUGUCUCAAAGAUUAAGCCAUGCAUGUCUAAGUAUAAGCGAGUAUACUGUGAAACUGCGAAUGGCUCAUUAAAUCAGUUAUGGUUUAUUUGAUGGUACCUUACUACUUGGAUACCCGUAGUAAUUCUAGAGCUAAUACAUGCAGGAGUUCGUGCGCGGCUCGUCCGCGCGCGAUGUAUUUAUUAGAUAAGAGACCAACCCGCCUCGUGCGGUUGCGUGCCGAGUCAUAAUAACUGUUCGAAUCGCAUGGCUCUGACGCCGGCGAUGGUUCAUUCAAAUUUCUGCCCUAUCAGCUUUCGAUGGUAGGAUAGAGGCCUACCAUGGCGUUAACGGGUAACGGGGAAUUAGGGUUCGAUUCCGGAGAGGGAGCCUGAGAGAUGGCUACCACAUCCAAGGAAGGCAGCAGGCGCGUAAAUUGCCCGAAUCCUGACACAGGGAGGUAGUGACAAGAAAUAACAAUACAGGGCCAUCUUGGUCUUGUAAUUGGAAUGAGUACAAUUUACAUCUCUUCACGAGGAUCAAUUGGAGGGCAAGUCUGGUGCCAGCAGCCGCGGUAAUUCCAGCUCCAAUAGCGUAUAUUAAAGUUGUUGCAGUUAAAACGCUCGUAGUCGGAUUUCGGGUCGGUUGCGCCGGUCUGCCGAUGGGUAUGCACUGGCGGAGUCGGCCUUUCUUCCGGAGACCGCGCCUCCUCUUAGCUGAGCGGGUGCGGGAGACGGAUCGUUUACUUUGAAAAAAUCAGAGUGUUUCAAGCAGGCAGCUCGCUCUUGCAUGGAUUAGCAUGGGAUAAUGAAAUAGGACUCUGGUGCUAUUUUGUUGGUUUCGAACACCGGAGUAAUG
Molecule: ribosomal RNA, 868 nt
Filed under: Chrysotila scherffelii
Lineage: Eukaryota; Haptophyta; Isochrysidales; Isochrysidaceae
Description: SSU rRNA
Rfam family: Eukaryotic small subunit ribosomal RNA
Source: RNAcentral